UCUCCUGUAGCUCAGUGGUAGAGCGUCCGACCGGUGUGCGGAAGGUCAUAGUUCGACUCCCGUUGGGAGAA
Desmophyllum pertusum is the source of this 71-nucleotide non-coding RNA. The record is from the annotation of a GenBank genome assembly. Lineage: Eukaryota; Metazoa; Cnidaria; Anthozoa; Scleractinia; Caryophylliidae.